Molecule: ribosomal RNA, 484 nt
Filed under: uncultured bacterium
Lineage: Bacteria
Description: partial 16S ribosomal RNA
Rfam family: Bacterial small subunit ribosomal RNA
Source: RNAcentral
AUUGAACGCUGGCGGCAUGCCUAACACAUGCAAGUCGAGCGGAUGAAGGGAGCUUGCUCCUGGAUUCAGCGGCGGACGGGUGAGUAAUGCCUAGGAAUCUGCCUGGUAGUGGGGGAUAACGUCCGGAAACGGGCGCUAAUACCGCAUACGUCCUGAGGGAGAAAGUGGGGGAUCUUCGGACCUCGCGCUAUCAGAUGAGCCUAGGUCGGAUUAGCUAGUUGGUGGGGUAAAGGCCUACCAAGGCGACGAUCCGUAACUGGUCUGAGAGGAUGAUCAGUCACACUGGAACUGAGACACGGUCCAGACUCCUACGGGAGGCAGCAGUGGGGAAUAUUGGACAAUGGGCGAAAGCCUGAUCCAGCCAUGCCGCGUGUGUGAAGAAGGUCUUCGGAUUGUAAAGCACUUUAAGUUGGGAGGAAGGGCAGUAAGUUAAUACCUCGCUGUUUUGACGUUACCAACAGAAUAAGCACCGGCUAACUUCGUG